Molecule: long non-coding RNA, 2740 nt
Filed under: Dermacentor andersoni
Lineage: Eukaryota; Metazoa; Arthropoda; Arachnida; Ixodida; Ixodidae
Description: uncharacterized LOC126544381
Source: RNAcentral
CCUUUGAUGAGACGUGAGAAUUCGUGAGUUAAUACCUUUGCUUUGAGUUAGAGCAUUACAUCUUGGGUGGAGAGCCCUGCCCUGAAUCCAAACAUUGAAGGGAAGAGGUGAUUUUUCUCCAUGAAUCUGUUUAGGCGAUUGAGGAUUACAUGUUGCAUGAGUUUGCCUGCACAUGAAGUGAGGGAGAUUGGGUGCAAAUUAGCUAGGUCGAGCAGUUUGCCUGGCUUUGUGAUGAAAGUAGCCUUUGCAUGUUUCCCGUGGGGAGGCAAUGUGCCUUGUUCCUAGUGGUGGUUACGAUGUUUGGUUAGGACCCUAAUCAAGCCUGCAACCAGGUUGCGUAGAGAUUUGUUGUUGACGUGAUCGGGGCCGGGUCCUGAGGUGGUGCGUAGGGCUGUCUAAUUCUUGGUUGGGAAGGCCUCCGUAGUCUGACAUGGAGUCGGUCGCGUACUGCGGAAAGUAGGUAUGGAUUAGGAUUUGUACUGCGUUCUGACCUCUCUGCUUCGUUAGGUGGAACACUGGGGUAAUUAGUUUGCUAGUUUCCACCUUGGCUUUAGAUGUUUCUAACAGGCGACGUAGGAAGGACCACGUUUAUUUAAAUUGAAGGCUUCCAUCGAGCCUAUUGUAGAUCUGUGUCCAGUGUUGAGAGGCAAGGUUAAUGGCAUGUUCUGUGAUGAGGUGGAGGACGGUGGACAUGCGGCGCCGCAAUAAGCUUGGUUGUGCUUUUGUCUCGGCCAGCGUCUUUCCAUGCUUUGACAAGCUUCCCAUAGGUGUAGCAAACAGCUGUCGACUGGCUCGUUUUCCUGCCCAGUCGCUAGUUUCUGCUUAGUCGCUAAUUUCUUAUGUUUGUGUAGCUGGGCGACCCAUUCCUCGUAGUCUGAAAUGGAGGUGGCUUGUUCCUGCUUUCUCAUUUUUCUAAAUUUAUCCCAGUCUACAAUAGGCUCGAGUUGGUACCAUGUUCUGAGAUUACCUGCCUGAAGGGUGAUGUCAAUUAUAUAAUGAUCACUGCCUAGGGUUAUGCCAGUGUUCUGCCAGUGUGGCCGACUAAUGUUUUUAACGAGUGUUAAGUCCGGGCACGUGUCCCUGCUCACGCCAUUUCCUAUACAGGUAGCUUGCGUGGUGUCCGUGGCAAGGGUAGCUUGUGCUGCUGGAUGAAGUCGUAGAGUUGUCUUCCUUUGAUAGUGGGGGCCCUGUAGGGAGAGGGCCAUGGAUUUCUAUUGGUUCAUGGCACAUAAUGGGUAGGGGAGCUUUGGGUUGUGUUAGUGCAUUUAAACGCUCAAGUAUUAAGGACAUUUUUUGUUUGAGGUGCUGGUUUUCUUUGGUGAGAUGGUCUAUAGUGGAAUGAUAGUACAUUUCUUGGGUAUCUGAGCAACUACUGGCGCGUUAGUAGACGCUAUCUGCCCAGUUCACCUGUUGAGAGUCCUGCUUCACCGUGGGUGUGUCCCGUCGUGUCCCGGGUCCACUGGAUCAGUGGACCCGGGCUCAUUUUUGAAAUCAGUUCAACAAAGUUUUGCGCUCUGCAGCGUUGUGUAGCUGUUGCCCAUUGCCCCCAAAUCACCCCUCCAGCGGCGUAACAGUAACACUAGCUAGAAUUAGAAACUGCUGGUGUAAAUUCUGCCUUCCCCCCCCCCUUGCUGUGAAAGUGAGAAAAAGAAACGGCGCAAUGAAGUGAUUGACCCCAGUCUGUACAGAGGUCUGUCACCAGCUGGAUCUUGAAAGCAACACUUCGUUUGAAGACUGUGUGCAGCGUAACAGUGAACUCCUUACCUGUGCUGAACUAUCAGAUCUGGAAAUUGUUUCCAGUGUUCAUCCAGAAAAGUUCGACGAGAAAGAUGCAAUGGCAGAGGCAGAUCCAAAUCCUGUAACUAGCCGAGGCUGCAAGAUGCCUUGGAAAGAUGCGAGAUGUGUUGCAGCAACAAGCUGUGCCAGGGGAAGUGUACAAAACCAUGCUCUCUAGACAGCUUAGUUACUUCUUGUGCUUUGAAAGUACCAGUGCAAAUGAAAAUUAGAUUUUAUUUUUCAGAAUGAGAUAGGCAGCAACGUAACUGUUACGCACUUCGUAUGUAUUGAUGUACCAAACUCGAGAAUUGCAUUUCACCCUUUUGACUCGAUGUCUGCUGUGCCCUAUGCUGUUCCAUAUUCUAGUGAAUAUUCAGUUCAGUGAACUAUUUGCUUGGAUCCCUUGAAGUCCACUCAAGCGAAGUUCUAUACUGUUCGCUUCAAGUGUUUUAAUGUGAUUAGCAUUAUUUGCCUACUUCGGCCGUUUUCAGCCUGUCUAUCCUCUCGCGCUGACCCAGCGGCCCAAGAUGUAUACCAGCUUGGACCGCGAGGUAUUUGCUCAUGGUCAUGAUGCCGUCGUGGUCGUUCCAUCGUCAUCACACAGGCACUGUGAUAGUCGCCGUCACCCCAUUGUCCUCAUACCAAUACCAUUGUCAUGCCAUCGUCGUCAUUGUGCCGUCAGCAUACAGAGGUCAUGCAUUCGUUGUCAUUCCAUAGUCGCGAUACCGUCGCGAGUGCGGCUAACAAAUUUAAGAAGUAAUAAAUUCUGGAUUCUUACGUGCCAAAACCAUGACACGAUUAUGAGGUAGGCUUUAUAGAGGGACUCCGCAUUAACUUUGACAACCUGGGGUUCUUUGGCGUGCACCCAAUGCAUCUUAAGACUAGCCCAGCAGCACGUGCUUCUGGGCCACAUCACGAGCGUAUAAAAUGAGUAUAAAAUAAAAAGCAUUAUUGUACAAUUGAA